RNAcentral lists this long non-coding RNA (773 nucleotides) under Zonotrichia albicollis (white-throated sparrow). Its description in RNAcentral is "lncRNA (ENSZALG00000001281.1)". The record is from RNAcentral. Lineage: Eukaryota; Metazoa; Chordata; Aves; Passeriformes; Passerellidae.
GGAAUUCAGGGGGAAAGCUCCAGAUCCAUGGAAUGAGGUGGGAGAAAGAAGGGGAAGGAGGUUUUGGAGGGAUAGGGUUCCCAGUUCCAUAGGGAUGGGAUCCCUGGGGUUCCCUGGGGAUGGGAUCCCUGGUUCCAGAGGAAUGGGUUCUGUAGGGAUGGAUCCCCAGUUCCCUGGGGAUGGGAUCCCUGGGGUUCCAUAGGGGAUUGGGUUCCCAGAGGUUCCCUGGGGAUGGGAUCCGGGAGGAUCCCCCUGGAUAGGAUCCCCUGGUUCUGGAGGGAUGUGAUUCCCUGGGGAUGGGAUCCCCCGAGUUCCUUGGGGAUGGGAUUCCCUAGGGAUGGGAUCCGGGAGGAUCCCCCUGGAUAGGAUCCCCUGGUUCUGGAGGGAUGGGAUUCCCUGGGGAUGGGAUCCCUGGGGUUCCCUGGGGAUGGAAUUCCCUGGGGAUGGGAUCCCUGAGGUUCUAUGGGGAUGGAAUUCCCUGGGGAUGGGAUCCCUGGGGUUCUAUGGGGAUGGAAUUCCCUGAGGAUGGGAUCCCUGGGGUUCCCUGGGAUGGAAUUCCCUGGGGAUGGGAUCCCUGGGGUUCUAUGGGGAUGGGAUUCCCUGGGGAUGGGAUCCCGGGGUUCCCUGAGAUGGGAUUCCCUGGGGAUGGAAUUCCCGGGGGAUGGAAUUCCCUGGGGACGGGAUCCCUGGGGUUCCCUGGGAUGGAAUUCCCGGGGGAUGGAAUUCCCGGGGGAUGGGAUCCCUGAGGUUCUAUGGGGAUGGAAUUCCCUAGG